GACGAACGCUGGCGGCGUGCUUAACACAUGCAAGUCGAACGGUGAAAGCGGAGCUUGCUCCGCUGGAUCAGUGGCGAACGGGUGAGUAACACGUGGGCAACCUGCCCCUCACUUCGGGAUAACCCCGGGAAACCGGGGCUAAUACCGGAUAUGACCUCGUUGGGCAUCCUUGGCGGUGGAAAGUUUUUCGGUGAGGGAUGGGCCCGCGGCCUAUCAGCUUGUUGGGAAGGUAGUGGCUCACCAAGGCGACGACGGGUAGCCGGCCGAAGAGGGCGACCGGCCACACUGGGACUGAGGAACGGCCCAGACUCCUGCGGGAGGCAGCAGUGGGGAAUAUUGCGCAAUGGGCGAAAGCCUGACGCAGCAACGCCGCGUGCGGGAUGACGGCCUUCGGGUUGUAAACCGCUUUCAGCAGGGAAUAAGCCGCAAGGUGACGGUACCUGCAGAAGAAGCACCGGCUAACUACGUGCCAGCCGCCGCGGUAA
Molecule: ribosomal RNA, 485 nt
Filed under: uncultured bacterium
Lineage: Bacteria
Description: partial 16S ribosomal RNA
Rfam family: Bacterial small subunit ribosomal RNA
Source: RNAcentral